GUGCUUGCUUCGGCAGCACAUAUACUAAAGCCGGAACAAUGCAGAGACGAUGAGCGUGCCUCCUGUGCCAGGACGACAUGCAUGCUCUGGAAGCGUUGCUUAGUUUU
This is a small nuclear RNA of Hyaena hyaena (striped hyena), 107 nucleotides long. Lineage: Eukaryota; Metazoa; Chordata; Mammalia; Carnivora; Hyaenidae. The record is from RefSeq and is a predicted model, not a curated record.